RNAcentral lists this ribosomal RNA (289 nucleotides) under uncultured Methylobacterium sp. RNAcentral's name for it is "partial 16S ribosomal RNA". Lineage: Bacteria; Pseudomonadati; Pseudomonadota; Alphaproteobacteria; Hyphomicrobiales; Methylobacteriaceae. The record is from RNAcentral.
CUACAGGGGUAUCUAAUCCUGUUUGCUCCCCACGCUUUCGCGCCUCAGCGUCAGUGUCGGACCAGUUGGCCGCCUUCGCCACCGGUGUUCUUGCGAAUAUCUACGAAUUUCACCUCUACACUCGCAGUUCCACCAACCUCUUCCGAACUCAAGUCUCCCAGUAUCGAAGGCAAUUCUGUGGUUGAGCCACAGGCUUUCACCCCCGACUUAAAAGACCGCCUACGCGCCCUUUACGCCCAGUGAUUCCGAGCAACGCUAGCCCCCUUCGUAUUACCGCGGCUGCUGGCAC